GCUUGUUGGUGAGGUAGUGGCUCACCAAGGCGACGACGGGUAGCCGGCCUGAGAGGGCGACCGGCCACACUGGGACUGAGACACGGCCCAGACUCCUACGGGAGGCAGCAGUGGGGAAUAUUGCACAAUGGGCGAAAGCCUGAUGCAGCGACGCCGCGUGAGGGAUGACGGCCUUCGGGUUGUAAACCUCUUUCAGCAGGGAAGAAGCGAAAGUGACGGUACCUGCAGAAGAAGCGCCGGCCAACUACGUGCCAGCAGCCGCGGUAAUACGUAGGGCGCAAGCGUUGUCCGGAAUUAUUGGGCGUAAAGAGCUCGUAGGCGGCUUGUCACGUCGGUUGUGAAAGCCCGGGGCUUAACCCCGGGUCUGCAGUCGAUACGGGCAGGCUAGAGUUCGGUAGGGGAGAUCGGAAUUCCUGGUGUAGCGGUGAAAUGCGCAGAUAUCAGGAGGAACACCGGUGGCGAAGGCGGAUCUCUGGGCCGAUACUGACGCUGAGGAGCGAAAGCGUGGGGAGCGAACAGGAUUAGAUACCCUGGUAGUCCACGCCGUAAACGGUGGGCACUAGGUGUGGGCAACAUUCCACGUUGUCCGUGCCGCAGCUAACGCAUUAAGUGCCCCGCCUGGGGAGUACGGAAU
This 634-nucleotide ribosomal RNA is filed under the name uncultured Actinomycetes bacterium. RNAcentral's name for it is "bacterial SSU rRNA". It matches the Rfam family "Bacterial small subunit ribosomal RNA", at positions 244 to 888 of the family's 1533-position model. The record is from RNAcentral. Lineage: Bacteria; Bacillati; Actinomycetota; Actinomycetes.